Molecule: long non-coding RNA, 655 nt
Organism: Rosa rugosa (rugosa rose)
Lineage: Eukaryota; Viridiplantae; Streptophyta; Magnoliopsida; Rosales; Rosaceae
Exons: 3
Source: RefSeq, a predicted model, not a curated record
UGCGCGGCGGCACGGCCGGCAGCGACGGCGGCGACCCCGAGUCCGGUUUAGCUCGUUUUCGUUCCAAACUCGAUAUCUCGAGCUACAGAGCACCAUUUCACUUGAUUCUUGGCUCAUUGAGCUCGCCUCAUCUUCCUAUACAAGCACCAAGAAGGAUCGGAACUGGAUCGAACGUUUUCACGUUCGUCGGAGCUCGACCCGUGCGGAUCGAACAACCAACCUUCGGAUCAAGAUAUCUCGAGCUAUACACGAUCGUUUCUUGUGAUUCUUGGCUUGUUGAGUUCAUAAGGAAGUUCUGAACAAUUCUCCAGAAGGGAUCGAGGCGUGAGGUUGUAGUUUUCACGUCGAUUUUGGAGCUCGCCGGUUUCUGGAAAAAUUCCGGCCACCGACUGAUUUUUGGUGAUCGACGGUUGGAUUUGGCGGACGAUUCGUGAAAUUGUAUUUUGAGCUGUUAAGAAGACGCAGCGGGAAUUUAGAGCGGGAAAUCCUACAGGUCAGGAGAACCAGGACGGUGAUCGGGCUGUUUAGAGUAGUGUUAUGUGAAUUACAGCAUUAUAUUGUGAGGUUUGUUAUGCUCAUUUAGAGCUUUACGAUUUUACUUUGUAAGAGUGAAUUGUAAUAAUUAACUCGAGGUUUUUCGAGUUUUGUGUUGAGU